AGUGAACGCUGGCGGUAGGCCUAACACAUGCAAGUCGAACGGCAGCACAGUAAGAGCUUGCUCUUACGGGUGGCGAGUGGCGGACGGGUGAGGAAUACAUCGGACUCUACUUUUUCGUGGGGGAUAACGUAGGGAAACUUACGCUAAUACCGCAUACGACCUACGGGUGAAAGCAGGGGAUCUUCGGACCUUGCGCGAUUGAAUGAGCCGAUGUCGGAUUAGCUAGUUGGGGGGGUAAAGGCCCACCAAGGCGCCGAUCCGUAGCUGGUCUGAGAGGAUGAUCAGCCACACUGGAACUGAGACACGGUCCAGACUCCUACGGGAGGCAGCAGUGGGGAAUAUUGGACAAUGGGCGCAAGCCUGAUCCAGCCAUACCGCGUGUGUGAAGAAGGCCUUCGGGUUGUAAAGCCCUUUUGUUGGGAAAGAAAAGCAGCAGGUUAAUACCCCGCUGUUCUGACGGUACCCAAAGAAUAAGCACCGGCUAACUUCGUG
Molecule: ribosomal RNA, 492 nt
Filed under: uncultured bacterium
Lineage: Bacteria
Description: partial 16S ribosomal RNA
Rfam family: Bacterial small subunit ribosomal RNA
Source: RNAcentral